AGAAACCAACAGGGAUUGCCCCAGUAACGGCGAGUGAAGCGGCAACAGCUCAAAUUUGAAAUCUGGUCCCUAGGGCCCGAGUUGUAAUUUGUAGAGGAUGCUUUUGGUGAGGUGCCGCCCGAGUUCCCUGGAACGGGACGCCACAGAGGGUGAGAGCCCCGUCUGGCUGGCCGCCGAGCCUCUGUAAAGCUCCUUCGACGAGUCGAGUAGUUUGGGAAUGCUGCUCAAAAUGGGAGGUAUAUGUCUUCUAAAGCUAAAUAUUGGCCAGAGACCGAUAGCGCACAAGUAGAGUGAUCGAAAGAUGAAAAGCACCUUGAAAAGAGGGUUAAAUAGUACGUGAAAUUGUUGAAAGGGAAGCGCUUGUGACCAGACUUGGGCGCGGCGGAUCAUCCGGGGUUCUCUCCGGUGCACUUCGCCGCGUCUAGGCCAGCAUCAGUUCGUCGCGGGGGAAAAAGGCUUCGGGAACGUGGCUCCUCCGGGAGUGUUAUAGCCCGUUGCAUAAUACCCUGCGGUGGACUGAGGACCGCGCAUCUGCAAGGAUGCUGGCGUAAUGGUCACCAGCGACCCGUCUUGAAACACGGACCAAGGAGUCGUCUUCGUAUGCGAGUGUUCGGGUGUCAAACCCCUACGCGUAAUGAAAGUGAACGCAGGUGAGAGCUUCGGCGCAUCAUCGACCGAUCCUGAUGUUCUCGGAUGGAUUUGAGUAAGAGCAUACGGGGCCGGACCCGAAAGAAGGUGAACUAUGCCUGUAUAGGGUGAAGCCAGAGGAAACUCUGGUGGAGGCUCGCAGCGGUUCUGACGUGCAAAUCGAUCGUCAAAUAUGGGCAUGGGGGCGAAAGACUAAUCGA
RNAcentral lists this ribosomal RNA (848 nucleotides) under Trichoderma harzianum. RNAcentral's name for it is "eukaryotic LSU rRNA". It matches the Rfam family "Eukaryotic large subunit ribosomal RNA", at positions 60 to 938 of the family's 3401-position model. The record is from RNAcentral. Lineage: Eukaryota; Fungi; Ascomycota; Sordariomycetes; Hypocreales; Hypocreaceae.